AAACGACUCUCGGCAACGGAUAUCUCGGCUCUCGCAUCGAUGAAGAACGUAGCGAAAUGCGAUACUUGGUGUGAAUUGCAGAAUCCCGUGAAUCAUCGAGUCUUUGAACGCAAGUUGCGCCCGAAGCCUUCUGGCCGAAGGCACGUCUGCCUGGGUGUCACGC
RNAcentral lists this ribosomal RNA (163 nucleotides) under Viola hondoensis. RNAcentral's name for it is "5.8S ribosomal RNA". It matches the Rfam family "5.8S ribosomal RNA". Rfam says of the family: 5.8S ribosomal RNA (5.8S rRNA) is a component of the large subunit of the eukaryotic ribosome. It is transcribed by RNA polymerase I as part of the 45S precursor that also contains 18S and 28S rRNA. Lineage: Eukaryota; Viridiplantae; Streptophyta; Magnoliopsida; Malpighiales; Violaceae. The record is from RNAcentral.